Molecule: ribosomal RNA, 478 nt
Filed under: uncultured bacterium
Lineage: Bacteria
Description: bacterial SSU rRNA
Rfam family: Bacterial small subunit ribosomal RNA
Source: RNAcentral
GAUGAACGCUGGCGGCGUGCCUAACACAUGCAAGUCGAGCGAGAACCGCUGGAAUGACACUUCGGUAGAAUGAAAGCGGGGAAAGCGGCGGACGGGUGAGUAACGCGUAGGUAACCUGCCCCAUACACAGGGAUAGCCUAGGGAAACCUGGAUUAAUACCUGAUGAAGCAACUGGUCGCAUGACCGGCUGCCAAAGAUUUAUCGGUAUGGGAUGGACCUGCGUCUGAUUAGUGAGUUGGUGGGGUAAUGGCCUACCAAAGCGACGAUCAGUAGCCGACCUGAGAGGGUGAUCGGCCACAUUGGGACUGAGACACGGCCCAAACUCCUACGGGAGGCAGCAGUGGGGAAUAUUGCACAAUGGGCGAAAGCCUGAUGCAGCAACGCCGCGUGAAGGAAGAAGGCUUUCGGGUCGUAAACUUCUAUCGAUGGGGAAGAAGAAAUGACAGUACCCAAGUAAGAAGCCCCGGCUAACUACGUG